UCUCCCCCAGAGACACUUUAACCGCCUUCCCCCCUCUCUCUGUCUAAACAAACUAGCAACUACCAGUACCACCACCAAACUCACCACCACCACCAAUCUUAAAAAAAAAAACUAAUCUUUUUUUAUUUUUUAUAAGCCUGCUACCACUAAAUCCUUUAUCAUAUAAAAUGUUGUUGCACAUCUGAGAUGAAGGUGCAACCAACUUCUUGAAAUUUUAGCACCAACAUCUAUAAAUUUCUUAAAAACCUUCGCAAGGGCUUUUGAGAUAAACAUUCGAUUUAGAUAUUUUUCCAUAUAUCUUCCGUUUGUUGAACCACCAUCACCAUGUAAAUCAGAUCCAGAUCUGGAUCACAAACAAUAUUUUCCCUUGAACCGGCGAUGACCACCAUAAGCGUCGUCACCAUUCCGAGUCAGCAGAUCUUGAUUGGGGGGGUUUUGGUAGUGAUGUGAAACAUGAUAGUUUCUCUUAAGCUCUCGAUUGGGGGGUUUUGGUGGUGAUGUGAAACAGGAUAGUUUCUCUUAAUAUUAAGAUCUGAGGUUGAGAUCUACAAGGGUUUAUGAAUUGAGGGUUGGGUGGUGGUGGUGGGGUGGUGCUCGUGGUCGUCAGGGGUUAGGGUGGUGGUUGGGGCGGUGGUGGUGGUGUGGUGGAGGUGAUCGAUACAUUUUAGGUUAACAUCUCGAUGGAAGAUUGAAUUCUUAAGUCCAUAAUAAAAAAAAAAUCAUAUAUCUAAAUGAAAAUAAUUGGGCUUAACUAAUUCCAUGGGUUCACAAAGCUUAGAGAAUUAAAAGAAAAGAGAGGAAGUUUGCAAGUGGAAUGCACGGUUACGGAAAAAAAAUAAUAAUAAUAUCUUUUUCAAGUUAGUCAAGGGGGCAUUGAAGGAGGAGCUAUUUUUUGGGACGUGAAUUGAUCGCAAAGGAAAAACGGCAGAUCGAAAGAGAAGGGGGUGGCCCUUAGUUGUUGGGGGACGGAAUUGAAGAAAAAAGAAGGGAUUAUUGCGAGACGUCAUGAAUAUACGCGGUUAAUCUUCUAAGGGUUUCACCCGGUGUAGACUUUGUAAGAAUUCUAGGGUUUCAAUAUUUUGUUUAUGAUUUAAUUUGUGACUAGUUGUAUUUAACCAUUUGAAACUUAUAUCAAUUGUCUUGCAUUUGUAUUGGAUUCAUGAAUUGUCGAAUGAGAUUUACAUGUUCUUGGUAACGAAGUGUAGUGCGGUCCGUUGUCUAUGACGUUGAUAGCUCUUGACACCUAAGCCACGUAAUACUAAAUCCGUUAAUAAUCAAAUGCAACUAAAUUAAGUCUAACGUGUAGAA
This 1308-nucleotide long non-coding RNA is filed under the name Helianthus annuus (common sunflower). RNAcentral describes it as "hypothetical non coding rna". Lineage: Eukaryota; Viridiplantae; Streptophyta; Magnoliopsida; Asterales; Asteraceae. The record is from RNAcentral.